Molecule: long non-coding RNA, 6234 nt
Organism: Lagenorhynchus albirostris (white-beaked dolphin)
Lineage: Eukaryota; Metazoa; Chordata; Mammalia; Artiodactyla; Delphinidae
Exons: 3
Source: RefSeq, a predicted model, not a curated record
UACCACAAAAAAAAAAAAAGAAAAAUCACUCCCCAGAACUACUGCUGACGCCCUGCUGGCUCCUGGGUGUCACCCAGUGGCACUGCGGCUGUACAGCUGGUGGACCCAGGUUGCUGCCCAGACCAGAAUCAGGGAGACCCGAUUCAUAGACCUGGCAGACCUCUGCUGGGAGACUUAGGGGGGUGACUUGAGUCCUCAAAGGACCCACCAGCUGGCUAGGUGGGGUCAGCUAGAGACAGCUUUAGGAUUCUGGUUUAUUGCUGGAAAUAAAAGAGACAAUUAUGGUCAUCUCUUGUGCUGGUUGGAUCCCACGUGUAGACAAGGAAUUUCAAACUCUAAUUUUACCCUGGAACACCAACAAUCCCUUCCCUAAAUUCCCCUAGAGAUGUUAGGGCAAUCUCUAACCUCUAGUAAGAUGGAUGGAUUAGCGAGACCUUCCUUGUGUCUCUAGUUCAUCGGGUACAGAGUCUUCUGGAGUGGGAGAGAGGAGAAGGGAAAAUCAAGGACAAAAGAUACUGUGAAAAAUGGAGAUACUGGAAUCUUCCAGCUGCAGAUCCCUAUUUGUUUGUUUUUGCUUUGGGCCAUGGGAUUUGUUUCAAGCUGAGGCCUUGGCCUUCAGGAGCAAGCUGCCGUGGUCCUCAAAGGCGGGGGGCAGUGAUGGUGGAGUGGGUGACAUCCCACUCACUCUCAGUGAGAGAGUCCCACCCUCUCACUGCAAGCAGGUUGCUAUAUUGUUACUGUGGCCAGUUAGAACCUGCUCUGGGAGGGGAAACUUCUAAAAUCCUGGGAAGUGAGUGUCUCAAGGUCUCAUCCUGGAAGAAUAGUCUGACCCUAGAAGAACAGGUGAGGGGUGAUCUCUCUAUUUCUCAGCCAACUUCUAGAAGAUGGCAGAGAGGGCCAGCAGUGAGUUUAGCCUCAUGGAAAUCACAGGCUUUGCAGCCUUUGGGAUACGUAGACCCUCUGGCUUCCUUCUUCUUUAUACCAGAAAACCAGACCUGCUUCCGCCAGGCUUGGGGCUGCAAGUGGAACCUCUGGGACCAGAGCUAAGAGGAGAGACAGCCUGAGACCCGUGGCCUCCUCAACACGGGGAGAAGUGGCUCCUGACCAGGGCAGAGUGGAGGCUGAUCCCCCUGAAUGCCUCCUCUUCACAUCCUCCAAGGGAGAAGGGCCAUUCUCCUUGACUCCUGGGAGCUGCAGAAUAUUGGAGAGAACACGUCUGCCCAGAACAAAGCAAAACCCUCAAAGGUUCUUUCCUAUCUCUGAUUCUAGAAAAUUACCUGCCCUUUCAUCCACUUCUCACAUUCACGGCCUCUCUGUGUCACUGUCAUUUUCCACCUCCUGGCAUCUCAGCGCUCAUCCUUUCUCUUUUGUCUCUCCGUCUGUCCAGGCUGGUUUGCAUCUCUUUGUCUUUGCAGGGUCUGCAUCCCUGCCUCUCUGUCUGUCCCUCCCUCCGCCUUGGCUGGCUUCUCUCUCAGCUGUCGCUUUUCUCUCCUCUCCUCCUGGCUAGCGCUGAGCAAGUGGCUGUCGGCCGUCCCUCGCUAGAGCCGAAUCCCAGAGAAAACCAGUGUUGGAGCUGAUGAGUGAUUUUGGCUCCCUGUCUGAUUUCCCUCCAGCCUGGUUUUGAAGCUCUGUGCAGCCCUGGGACGUCUGGAGGCCGGCUGGGCCGCAUUGGGCUCUGCUGCUUAGGGCCCCCAGCCUUGGCACCCGAGGUUCCACCCCUUCUCCUGACUUGGAGUGAUCCCGUCGUCCUGUCUUACAAAUUGGGAUCGCCUCCCUGCAUGUGGGCUUUGGUGACAGCCACCAGAUGGCAGGGACUGGUUUUUAUAGUAACUCAUUAACCUCUUGCCAUCCUGCAAUUAAGAAAGCAUUUAAUUGCUUUUGCUCGAGCCAUCCUAUGAGUGAUUUGGGCGGCUCGUGUUCCUCAUGUGAACCGAUUUGCAGCUAGAGCCCGAGAGGGUGGGCACAGCGGCGUGUGAGGGCCCAGACGUGGUGAGCACCCUGGGCAGCCCUGGAUUGCCCUUUGGGGCCUUUGGGUGGAGGGGAGCACGAGCCUUAGAACCUUCCCGAUUGGUUUCCUGCUGGUUCCUCAGCAGGACUCCUGAUGAGUCCUGUGGAUGAGCGCUGGAUGCCCCUGAGAGGCUAUCUAGGUUCCUUCUCAUUUAACCGUGGGGAGGACUAAAGCCAAAUAAGUCAGGGAACUUGCCCCAAGUCACACAGCUAAUCACUGGCACCACCUGGGCUGCAGCCCAAGUGUUCAUUUCCCACCUGCGGUGCUCUGGGCUUCUCCUUGCUUUGCCAGCCUUUCCUGGGAGACGUGCUACUGCAGCGCCUCUGAAACUGUGUUCUCUCCCGUACUUGGUCUGCUUUUAGGUACAUAACUGCCCGAGAGUUAUUUACUCAGGAAAUAGCUCAGGGCAUCCCUGAAUGGAUUAACCAACUCCAUCCAAAGAGGCAGGACCCACUCCCCUCUCCCCGCCACGCACUCCCAACCAGCACACCUGGCAGCCUCACUGCGGCACUGGGGAUCACUGAGUGCACAACGCCGUGACCAAAGAGGCUCCAGCCCGCAGCAGAGCUUCCACCAGCCUUUUUUAGGUGCCAACCCUGCACCAGCUGACCCGCUCACAGCAGAGGCCCCUUAGGCCUCCCAGAGACGGUUAGCAGCUUGCCUCCCAUCCCUGUGUCCCAGCACCACCUCCACAGGGCAGGUCUCCGGGCAUCUGUCAUUGCCGUGUCUUUGUUCCCUUACUGCUUAUACCUUUCCCCGCCACCGACCCCCUCACCUCCCAAACCCCACACCCUUCCACUGGGCUUUGGGUGCUUCUGCUCCACAGCAAUGGAUCCCUCCACCCCCAGCAGGGUGGGCAGGGAGACAUGCCACCCAGACCCCCAUCAACGAAGGCUUUGCCUCGGCUGCUGGGAAGGUGGUCGGCAGGCCACCUUUGGGGGCUGUCUUAGCUGUGGAGGGCUGCCUCGCCCACAGUCACGCCCUUCUGGAGGGGAUGCCCCAUCUGAUGACUGAUCAAGGAGGGCAUAUAAGGACCGGUUAUUUUGGUCCAAUGCAGGACAACUCUGAUGGGUCAUUUCGGCUCCAGAGCUCCCACAGGGUCAGCCCAGGGCCUGUCACUGGCCAGCAUCACAGCUUUACUUCUUCCUCCAACUUCUGCUUCAUCCCAGUCACAUCCCCAGGUAUUUAUCCCAAGAACAUUCCUACUUAUGAAGAAAUAUUAAACGUGAUAACUCUAUAUUUAACAUUUUGAGGAAGUACCAAACUCUUUUCCACAGGGGCUGUACCAUUUUAGAUCCCCGGCAACAACGUGUAAGGGUUCUAAUAUGGUAUACAGGUAUUCCAGCAUCAUGUGUGGAAACGACUUUUCUUUCUUCAUCGACGCAUCUUGGCUUCCUUGUUGAAAUUAAUUGGCCAUAGACGUAUGGGUUUAUUUUUGGACUCUCAAUUCUGUUCCAUUGAUCUAUUUGUCUAUCCUUAUGCUGGUACCUAACUGUCCUGAUUACUGUGGGUUUGUAAUAAGUUUCUUAAAAAUUAAAAUAAUUGUUUCCAGCUUUAUUGAUACACAACAUAUAACUUUGUGUAAGUUUAAGUUAUACAACGUGAUGAUUUGAUACAUGCGUGUAUAUAUAUAUAUAAAUGAUUACCACAAUAGGGCUUAGUUAACGCCUCCAUCACCUUUUUGUGAGUGUGUGUGUGGUGGAAACAUUUGAGAUCCAAUCUUUCAGCAACUUUCAAUUAUACAAUACAGUAUUGUUAACUAUACUGUACAUUAGAUGCCCAGAACUUGUUCAUCUUAUAACUGGAAGUUUGUCCUUUGACUCAUAUCUCCCCAUUUCCUUCACCCUGUAAGUUUUGAAAUCAGCUGUGUUAAGUCCUUCACUUUGUUUCUUCUUUCUUAAGAUAGUCUUGGCUUUUCUGGGUCCCUUACAUUUGCAUGUGAAUUUCAGGAUCGGAGGAGACAGAAAAGGGAGGAGGGCUUUUUAAGUUGCUGACAGUGAGGCCUGCGAUGUGGGACUCCCCCAAGGUCUUCAGUAAAUUCAAUUGGGCAUCUGAAUAACUGGGCAAGUUUAUUUGCUUAUGUACUUAUGUAUUUUGUAGAACAGGGGAAAGGGGCUACGUGUGGUGUUCCCGUUGACUCAGUGUGAAAUGGGGAUGGAGGCCUGAAAGCAGGAGGCCGGCACAGGGAAGACCCUGGGGGUGAAAGCUUUCUCAGACCUGGGGCAGCUCCCGGCUCCUUGAGCUGUUCCACUGGGGGACUGAGAAAUCCCCGCCAUUGGCAGGCCUGUCGGUAACACAGAGCGCGAGGCACAGAGAUGAAGCCGCUCUCUGUGAAGAGGGAGGAGGGUGGCACCCUGGGGCACCCCAAAACACCUCCUCGGGCCUCUGACCUCUGUGGAACGGAGCUGGACAUCAGGGCCCCUGUGUGGCUUUAGAAGGGUUGGUUUUGUAACCCAUGUCUCACUUGGGGGGCGGCUCUCCCCCACCCGCCGUGGACAGAUGGGGUUCACGAGCUCCCCGGGACUCCGUCUGUCACGUCUCCCAGCAGCCCCAUCUUCUCUGGAGUCGACAGCUGGCCUGGCUGCCUCUGCGGAGUGGCAGCCUCUCUACUGCCUGAAGCCAAGUUCCUCUCAGCGCUGUCACUCUCUGGGCUGUUCCCGUGGCUGCUGCAAUGGGUGAUGAGACCCCGUGUGACUCGUGUCCUCUGCACAGACUCCAGGGCUAGGCUCUGAGGCCCAGGAGGUCUGAGAUCCUGGCCAGAGGGUGCAGGUGUGCGGGCAGGUGGGUGUGAGCAUUCCAGUUAUCCCUCUUUCAGGAGUUCUGUUUCCUCAUCCUUUCCUCAGAGUCCUUCAGGGAGAGAGAAAGCAUUCUGCCCCCUUUCCUGGGACUGGAAUUCUCUCCCACUCAUGGCUGCCCAGAUCUGGUUCCCAGAUGCCUCUUGGAAUAUCUUACUGGAGAAUGCUUGCUCACUGGUCCUUGAGCCUGGAAGAAUCCUGGACCUUCAGAGCCACAGCGAAAGGACGCAAAGCAAAACCAACCCGGAACAGUAUACAGAGGAAGUCCAGAGGAAACCGGGCACAAGCUUCCGAGAACCCUCUCCGGGUGGAGGCACACAGGAUGCACUAAUUCCUCCAGCAGCAAACUGUGACAACACGUGUGACGUGUUGCCAACCAGGCAGGCUCAUGGGAGACUCAGUGCCCAGGGCUUUUCUCGGGAGGAGAGGGGAGGGCCGGCCGCACAGGCCUCUCUGCCUGCCCCGUACCACGAUUCCUGACUCGCAGGAGGAAGACAGGUGUUCAGCAUGAAGCAUAUUGUUUUUGGAGCCACUCUUAUCAGGGAUUGGUGGGGACCCUCCAAAACCCAAGUUCCCUGAUGCCAGCCCAGGGCCAGCCUUGCCAGCAGGCCUUUGAAGGAGGGCAGCCACAGGUGUUUAUGAUAACUCUUUAAUGCACAUUUCUCCACUUCAAUCAGUCAUCAGAUAUGGUCCUCCGGGGAAGAGGUGUGACCUUGGUGCAGCUGUCCUCUGACUGCCGAAGCCUGCCUGCCACAGCCCUCCCAGCAAGACCUUCAUUAAGGGGGAAUCUGCGUCCAAGCACCCACCACAGGCAUGAGAUGAGUAAGGUGCUCCCAGCCCUCACGGCUGUGGGAUGCUGAAGAGCUCUGCUGCUGGGAAUCUGGCCACCUCUCACCUCAUGUGGACCCGGGAGAACUAAGCCAAGAGGGAGCCCCUGACAUUGUCCAUCCAUGAAUGUGCACAGGUCAGAUAGCAGGAGAGAGAAAGUGGAGCUUGGUGUUCAAGGGGGAAGUGAGGCGGUGCUAGGGAGACGGCUUGUCUGUAAACACAGAUAACCAGAGUAGAAUAGAAUAGACUGGUAGUAGAGACAUAGUUGCUGAAUUGGCUUGAUCCUGCUGACUACGUUCCCCAAGCUGAGAGCUGUGGAUUUAGAGACAUAAAUAGGGGUUGGUUUCUGCCCUUGGGUGCUCAUUGUCUACAGGGGGAGACUGACCUAUAAUCAGAAAGACGUGGUAAUUGAGAGAAGCAGAGAGUGGGGAGAGCCUGGGUGAUCCCUAUGCCUAGUAGGAAUGGAAUGAGGAGGGAAGGCUUCCUGGAGGCGGUGUCAUUCACGUUGGGCCCUAAAGGAUGAGUAGGAGUUAACCAAGUGGACAAGGAGAGAGGAAGGAGAUUUCAGGAAUGGACAAUAAAACAAACCCUGGGUAACUCGAA